UUCUGGCCAGGAUGAACGCUGGCGGCGUGCCUAAUACAUGCAAGUCGAACGAGAGUGCUUGCACUCUAGUGGCGAACGGGUGAGUAACACGUAGGUAACCUGCCUUACAGUUGGGAUACCCUGGCGAAAGCUAGGCUAAUACCGAAUAAUUGGAUUGGAGGCAUCUCCGAUCUCUAAAAGGGGCCUUUAAAGCCUCGCUGAAUGAUGGACCUGCGGCGCAUUAGCUAGUUGGUGAGAUAACAGCCCACCAAGGCGAGGAUGCGUAGCCGACCUGAGAGGGUGAACGGCCACACUGGAACUGAGACACGGUCCAGACUCCUACGGGAGGCAGCAGUAGGGAGUUUUCGGCAAUGGGGGCAACCCUGACCGAGCAACGCCGCGUGAAUGAUGAAGGUCUUCGGAUUGUAAAGUUCUGUUAUAAGGGAAAAAUGAUAUGGUGAGGAAAUGCUCCAUAUUUGAUGGUACCUUAUUAGAAAGCCACGGCUAACUACGUGCCAGCCGCUGC
This 505-nucleotide ribosomal RNA is filed under the name uncultured bacterium. RNAcentral describes it as "bacterial SSU rRNA". It matches the Rfam family "Bacterial small subunit ribosomal RNA", at positions 17 to 518 of the family's 1533-position model. The record is from RNAcentral.